UGGGGAAUAUUGGACAAUGGGCGCAAGCCUGAUCCAGCCAUGCCGCGUGAGUGAUGAAGGCCCUAGGGUUGUAAAGCUCUUUCAACGGUGAAGAUAAUGACGGUAACCGUAGAAGAAGCCCCGGCUAACUUCGUGCCAGCAGCCGCGGUAAUACGAAGGGGGCUAGCGUUGUUCGGAAUUACUGGGCGUAAAGCGCACGUAGGCGGAUAUUUAAGUCAGGGGUGAAAUCCCGGGGCUCAACCUCGGAACUGCCUUUGAUACUGGGUAUCUUGAGUAUGGAAGAGGUAAGUGGAAUUGCGAGUGUAGAGGUGAAAUUCGUAGAUAUUCGCAGGAACACCA
RNAcentral lists this ribosomal RNA (339 nucleotides) under uncultured Hyphomicrobiales bacterium. RNAcentral's name for it is "bacterial SSU rRNA". It matches the Rfam family "Bacterial small subunit ribosomal RNA", at positions 355 to 711 of the family's 1533-position model. The record is from RNAcentral. Lineage: Bacteria; Pseudomonadati; Pseudomonadota; Alphaproteobacteria; Hyphomicrobiales.